Long non-coding RNA from Meriones unguiculatus (Mongolian gerbil), 338 nucleotides. RefSeq lists it as uncharacterized. The record is from RefSeq and is a predicted model, not a curated record. Lineage: Eukaryota; Metazoa; Chordata; Mammalia; Rodentia; Muridae. The transcript is spliced from 2 exons.
AUCUCCUUCCUUCCUUCCUUCCUUCCUUCCUUCCUUCCUUCCUUCCUUCCUUCCUUCCUUCCUUCCUUCCUUCCUUCCCUCCUUCCCUCCUUCCCUCCUUCCCUCCUUCCCUAUCCCAGACUCAGAGAUCUGCCUGCCUGCUCCAUUUUGAUAUUUUUUUAAUUGAUAUGUAAUGUCUAGGGUUCCCUGACCACCCUGGCGAACAGGACAGGACAGAGGCGAGAAUCAAAGGCACGGCCAGAAAGAGGAGUUUGAGGCGAGGGACUGCUAUGCCCCAGCACAGCUGGACUGACUGCCCUCCUUCUCGAGGCGGGAAUCAAUCACACAUACAAACAAAA